UCAGGACGAACGCUAGCGGCGUGCUUAACACAUGCAAGUCGAGCGGUAAGGCCCUUCGGGGUACACGAGCGGCGAACGGGUGAGUAACACGUGGGUGAUCUGCCUUGCACUCUGGGAUAAGCCUGGGAAACUGGGUCUAAUACCGGAUAUGAGCCUGGACUGCAUGGUCCGGGUUGGAAAGAUUUAUNGGUGCGAGAUGGGCCCGCGGCCUAUCAGCUUGUUGGUGAGGUAACGGCUCACCAAGGCGACGACGGGUAGCCGACCUGAGAGGGUGACCGGCCACACUGGGACUGAGACACGGCCCAGACUCCUACGGGAGGCAGCAGUGGGGAAUAUUGCACAAUGGGCGCAAGCCUGAUGCAGCGACGCCGCGUGAGGGAUGACGGCCUUCGGGUUGUAAACCUCUUUUGACAGGGACGAAGCGCAAGUGACGGUACCUGUAGAAGAAGCACCGGCCAACUACGUGCCAGCAGCCGCGGUAAUACGUAGGGUGCGAGCGUUGUCCGGAAUUACUGGGCGUAAAGAGCUUGUAGGCGGUUUGUCGCGUCGAUUGUGAAAACUUGCAGCUCAACUGCAAGCUUGCAGUCGAUACGGGCAGACUAGAGUACUGCAGGGGAGACUGGAAUUCCUGGUGUAGCGGUGAAAUGCGCAGAUAUCAGGAGGAACACCGGUGGCGAAGGCGGGUCUCUGGGCAGUAACUGAC
Molecule: ribosomal RNA, 703 nt
Filed under: Nocardia sp. P3876
Lineage: Bacteria; Bacillati; Actinomycetota; Actinomycetes; Mycobacteriales; Nocardiaceae
Description: bacterial SSU rRNA
Rfam family: Bacterial small subunit ribosomal RNA
Source: RNAcentral